AAGUCGAGGGAGGAGCUUUCGGGCUUCGACCGGCGUACGGGUGCGUAACGCGUAUACAAUCUGCCUUUCACAUAGGGAUAGCCCGAAGAAAUUUGGAUUAAUACCUAAUGGUAUAUAAGUGUGGCAUCACAUUUAUAUUAAAGCUGAGGCGGUGAAAGAUGAGUAUGCGUUCUAUUAGCUAGUUGGAGAGGUAACGGCUCCCCAAGGCUACGAUAGAUAGGGGUUCUGAGAGGGAUAUCCCCCACACUGGUACUGAGAUACGGACCAGACUCCUACGGGAGGCAGCAGUGAGGAAUAUUGGACAAUGGUCGGAAGACUGAUCCAGCCAUGCCGCGUGCAGGAAGACGGCCUUAUGGGUUGUAAACUGCUUUUGCAGGGGAAGAAUAAGGAGUACGUGUACUUUGAUGACGGUACUCUGCGAAUAAGCAUCGGCUAACUCCGUGCCAGCAGCCGCGGUAAUACGGAGGAUGCGAGCGUUAUCCGGAAUCAUUGGGUUUAAAGGGUCCGUACGUGGGCUAAUAAGUCAGAGGUGAAAGCGCUCAGCUCAACUGAGCAACUGCCUUUGAAACUGCUAGUCUUGAAUGGUUGUGAAGUAGUUGGAAUGUGUAGUGUUCUCGGUGAAAUGUCUUAGAUAUUACACACGAACACUCGAUAGCGAUAGGCAUAUUACUAACAUAUUAAUUGAUCGUCUGAUGGACGAAAGUCGUGGGGAGCGAACAGGAUUAGAUAUCCUGCGUAGUCCACGCUGUAAACGAUGGAUACUAGCUGUUUGGUUGUAAGACUGAGUGGCUAAGCGAAAGUGAUAAGUAUCC
RNAcentral lists this ribosomal RNA (812 nucleotides) under uncultured Cytophaga sp. Its description in RNAcentral is "bacterial SSU rRNA". It matches the Rfam family "Bacterial small subunit ribosomal RNA", at positions 59 to 869 of the family's 1533-position model. The record is from RNAcentral. Lineage: Bacteria; Pseudomonadati; Bacteroidota; Cytophagia; Cytophagales; Cytophagaceae.